GACGAACGCUGGCGGCGUGCUUAACACAUGCAAGUCGAACGGAGCGUAGCAAUACGCUUAGUGGCGGACGGGUGAGUAACGCGUGAGCAACCUGCCUUAUACAGCGGGAUAACACAGAGAAACUUGUGCUAAUACCGUAUAAGACCACAGUGGGGCAUCCGACAGGGGUAAAAGAAAAUCGGUAUAAGAGGGGCUCGCGUCCCAUUAGAUAGUUGGUAGGGUAACGGCCUACCAAGUCAGCGAUGGGUAGCCGACCUGAGAGGGUGAUCGGCCACACUGGAACUGAGACACGGUCCAGACUCCUACGGGAGGCAGCAGUGGGGAAUAUUGGGCAAUGGAGGAAACUCUGACCCAGCAACGCCGCGUGAAUGAUGAAGGUCUUCGGAUUGUAAAGUUCUUUAAUUGGGGACGAAUAAAUGACGGUACCCAAGGAAUAAGCCACGACUAACUACGUGCCAGCAGUCGCGGUAAUACGUAGGUGGCAAGCGUUGUCCGGAAUGACUGGGCGUAAAGGGAGUGAAGGCGGUUUUGUAAGUUAGGAGUGAAAUCCCGAGGCUCAACCUCGGAACUGCUUUUAAGACUGCAAGACUUGAGUGAUGGAGAGGAAAGCGGAAUUCCUAGUGUAGCGGUGGAAUGCGUAGAUAUUAGGAGGAACACCAGAGGCGAAGGCGGCUUUCUGGACAUUAACUGACGCUCAUACUCGAAAGCGUGGGGAGCAAACAGGAUUAGAUACCCUGGUAGUCCACGCUGUAAACGAUGAUUACUAGAUGCGGGGGGUACGACUCCUCCCGUGUCGCAGCUAACGCAAUUAGUAAUCCGCCUGGGGAGUACGGCCGCAAGGUUGAAACUCAAAGGAAUUGACGGGGACCCGCACAAGCAGCGGAGCAUGUGCUUUAAUUCGACGCAACGCGAAGAACCUUACCAAGACUUGACAUUGUAUGACAGGUGUGGAGAUACACUUUUCUCUUCGGAGACAGGUAGACAGGUGGUGCAUGGUUGUCGUCAGCUCGUGUCGUGAGAUGUUGGGUUAAGUCCCGCAACGAGCGCAACCCUUAUGAAUAGUUGCCAAUAUUAAGUUAGGAACUCUAUUCAGACUGCCAUAGAUAAUAUGGAGGAAGGUGGGGAUGACGUCAAAUCAUCAUGCCCCUUACAUCUUGGGCCACACACGUGCUACAAUGGUCGCUACAAAGAGAAGCUAGCCGGUAACGGUACGCCAAUCUCAAAAAAGCGGUCUCAGUUCGGAUUGUGGGCUGCAACUCGCCCACAUGAAGUCGGAGUUGCUAGUAAUCCCGAAUCAGCAUGUCGGGGUGAAUGCGUUCCCGGGGAUUGUACACACUGCCCGUCAAGCCAUGGGAGUUGGGAGUACCCGAAGCCGGUGAGAUAACCGUAAGGAAGGAGCUGUCGAAGGUAAGAUCAAUGAUUGGGGUGAAGUCGUAACAAGGUAGCCGUAUCGGAAGG
This 1458-nucleotide ribosomal RNA is filed under the name uncultured bacterium. RNAcentral's name for it is "bacterial SSU rRNA". It matches the Rfam family "Bacterial small subunit ribosomal RNA". The record is from RNAcentral.